Long non-coding RNA from Gallus gallus (chicken), 3881 nucleotides. The record is from Ensembl. Lineage: Eukaryota; Metazoa; Chordata; Aves; Galliformes; Phasianidae.
CCUGCUCAGAUACACAUACCCGGUGCUGUGAUGACAACUGUCGUCAGUGAUUUUGUACCUCACAAAGACUCUUUGAUCAAGAAAACAGCGUAUUUAUCGUUGGCAGCCAAUGCUUACAGUAAGCGUGUUUUAAAAUCAAAUUCUUGUUUAAUGAAGGGGAACACUGUGUUUGUCUUUUGAUAUUCUGAACCUGGAUUCAUCACUGCUUAGAGUACAUGACAGACUUUGAAAAACAAAGCUGCUAUGGCUUUCCUUUCUGUGCUACUGAUACUGGGACUGCAAAUAUUAUGAAGUUAUCCCUGGAGGAGUUAGAGCAGUGGUGGUAAAGGCAAUACCUUUCAAUCUUUACUUUAAAAUUCUGCAUGUGUGUAGCCACGGUCUAUAGUUUUAUUUGGAGGAGAGUAUAUGGUUCUGCUAAGCCAUGCUCACAGUGAUAUAUCUGAAAUGAAAGAAUUUAUCGAAACAUUUUUGAAGUCAGAAAAAUUAUAAAGAGAAAAUAGGAUCUCAGAGAACCCUGUCCAUCAAGUGGUAAACCUUUAACUGAAAGUGGCAUAUCCAGAAAGUAAGUAAACAAAAACCAGAAGUGUUAAGAAAAUAGAAACAUUGGUGGCUCUGUCCUCCAGUUUAGAAGAAAAUACAUCGCAGUGACUACAGCCUGACACCAAAGGGAUUUCCCUUAAAAUUACCAGUAGAAAAAUAGCUGAUAAUGAUGGUCUCUGGACUUCCAAAGUUCUGUUUCAGAAGUCUUUACAAUACAAUUAUACCAAUUAGAGCUGUUCUUCUUCAGUCAGAGGCUGUUGACAUGAACGUAGACCCAUCAAGGACUUCCUGGGACAACGAUGCUACUCUUUUCCUAAUGCAGUGGAUGUUGAAGAGUCCUAUAAAUCCACCACAAAGUGGAAUGGAUCCCGGCAUGGCUCAUGUUCCAGCAUCGGACCUGCACUGCAAUUUUAGUUCUCAAACGCAGCAUCACAUCAGGGACCAUCAGCGGGGCGUUGCAGUUUGGGCUCCGGACAGAAGAGGGGGCACUUCGGAUGGCCAGAAGGAAAAGCUCGGCCAGAUGUGGACCAGCUGCAGCCCCAGAGCGCCUCCUGCUCCAGGGCCCCGUGCUACCGACCGCAGUAUGGAGCGAGCAGGGGGCUUGCUGGAGAUAGGAAUCCCAAGGACGGCGUGCUGGGAGCGAGAUACGCGGUUAAUAUUUCUGCUCCACUCCAAAGGUGGCUGAGACGGUAUAGAUUUAAUGCUCGAUACUUGCUCUGGAGCCUCCAUGCUGUUUAAAUCUGCACUAUGGAAGGUUGUGGCUUAUUCAGUCAAGGUUGUAUCUUGUAAACCACCCGAGGAACAAAUUCCAUGCAAGGUUGCCUGCGUGCAAAUAUGAUUUUUGACACAAACUGCUGGAUUCCCUGACGUUUCUACUUCUACCUCAGGUAAAUUUGUAUCGGCUGCACUGAACAAGCAAAAAUGCUUCCACACUGUAAAACACUCCCAUAACAUUGAUUCAAGAUUGAUCACUUGCACGAGGUAGUUCAGAGAGUAGUUAUAGCUGCGCAAAACCUUUUAUUCAGGGUUAGAAUUUGACCUAGCGUGAUAACCAGGCAAUAAAAUGGGAGUCGGCUGUCAAUUUCAGGAGAAAUAAGGCAUCACCAGAGCUUAAAGAUCUGCUUCAUAACAUUUCUAUCAAAUAAAUCACAUCUCCUGAGUGGAUAUUUCCACAAUUCUUGACAAGGAAGAAAGAAAAUAUUGUCUUUGCCUAGAUCUGGUGAAGUGAAAUAAAGCUGUAAUGAUUGCUAGCCAACCACAUCUACACACAGAAUUAAUGCAAGCACUCAGUGUGCAGAGAUGUUUUAAAAUCUUGAUUUACAGUCUGUGUUUUGUAAAUUAACAGAAUCCUCACAGCCCUCACAUGAUCUUCAUCGACCAAUUCUGUGUUUGAAACACAUGCCAUAUGUUUGAAACUGACCCUAAUGCUUCUGAAGAAAGGAGUGGUUGGUGUUUUCAGGAAGCAGCCUGGAAUCCAGUGCUAGCUGGUGAGUCAUUAAAUAAGGAGAAUAACAUUUACAGGACGUAAUACAAUAUAUCAGUUUAGCAGAACUGAAAUUUAACUUUCUCAAAUGCCACUUCAGAUAAACAGAAUGUAGUCUUUCUCCACUGGAACUGGACCAGGUGCAGAAUAAGCUGCUAUAAUUAUGCCUGCCCUACCAUGAGGACCAUUGCAAGUAUUUUAAUCUUUCUUAUUUCUUACAUUACACUAUGAAAACUUCAUUGAAAAAUACAUUUCAACUGUAAAGCUGUUUGAAGUAUGAAGUCUAAAGUGUAUCUUGAACAAAUGUUGCAGAUCUUCAUUCUGAAUUGGUAAAAACUGUAAGUAUGAGAUGUCAGAAUUUAUACUGUUGUGCUAUUUUAUUGUUACUCAGUGAGGUAGAAACACAUCAGGAUAGGGUCUAGAGGCCAAGUUUAUCCAAAUAUAUGAGGUCAACUCUGAGAAGACUGUUAUGGACUCUGGAAGAACAAUUACAGAAACUGUAAAAGUAUUCUAUCCUUGGAAAAGAAGUACUGGUCUGUAUAGGAGUAAUAGGAAAAAGAUAACACUGUCUUGUGGCUAUAAAUUCAGCUUCAUAAGGAUAAUUUCCUUUGCCUAUCCAUGUACAGCUAACAAUGAAAAGACUUAGAGAAGCGCGAAGUAAUAUUUUCUUUUAUGUGUGACACAGAAAACAAAGCAGAACAUAAAAAUGUGACGCUUGAGUGCUUGUUUUCCUCAUUUUUAUUUUCUCCAAAUACUCUAAAUACUCACGGGUACAGUCUUCUACUAUGGAAACUGAUGAAGAAAUCAGAUAUGUAUUUGCUGCAGUUUUAGAAAAAUAAUAUAAAUCUACUUGUUUAGUUUGUCUUGUUCAACAGAAAUUACAUGGCGUCCUGACAGCAAAAUAGACUAAUAAUCAUAACAAAUCUAAUUCAUCCCUGUUCUAUUUUGAACUAGAGUGAACUUUCUCUGCAAGACAUGGGAACAACUCACAGAUCUAUUAUUCUGGAAGAAUUAUAGGCAGAAUCAAUACACGUUGCUCAUGACACACAUCAGUGGGUUGUCAUAACAGUGAUUAUAGCUUCUCCAUCAGUAGACAGAGUGAAUACUCAGGCUACUCUGAAAGUUUUUAUCACAUGACAAAACAAAGUGAGUUUUCCAGGCCUACCUCACCCUAUCUUCUUAUUUAAGUAAAUGUAGAAAAAGCUUGCAAUGAACAUUAUAGACCUUGCUGCUCACUUGCCAUUUACUAUUGUGGCGGUGUCAAGCUAAUAGAUUUUUCAGUAAGUGGCCAGAAGUAAAAGUAGCCUCUAUUGGGUCUGUCUACUUUGGUCAUGACUUUCUGUUUAUUGUUUUCAGCAGAAAAAGAAGCUCAGAAAACUAAUGUCCAGUAACAUAUGACAAUUCAUAUCUUUACAAUUUCAAUAUUUUUCCUGGGGAAAAGAGGAGGCAUUGUACAUACGCAACAAUCAGCACACUAUCCUCUAGCUAACGAAGGACUGAACACUACAAUAAAGCUUUGAAAGAAAGGUUAGAGGUGGCUAAACUGAAGGGAAAAUCUGGGAAAACAGUCACUUCAAGUUUCUUUUAAAAAUAAAAAGGAGACAUGGUGCAGCAAAACUGAGGGAGAUUUUAAAUCAGGAGGAAAAUGUUGUUCUGUUGUAAGCACUUAGGAUGGAAGUACCAGUCUGGUAGGAUUUGAGUAAACCAUUCAGUGGAAACAGCAAAAAUGAGAAAUGUUAGGUUAGUUUUGCACUACCAAGGAUUGGCAGUGUGCAAGGAGUCUGUGAGAAAACAAAAACCCAUUGUAUGGGAGAAUCAUAGUUUACCUCUCAGUACUGUCUGAAGGAGAAAAGAGCCC